UAGGGAAUAUUGCACCAUGGACGAAAGUCUGAUGCAGCAACGCCGCGUGAGUGACGAAGGCCUUCGGGUUGUAAAACUCUUUUCAAGGGGAAGAGGAAGGACGGUACCCUUGGAAUAAGCAUCGGCUAACUACGUGCCAGCAGCCGCGGUAACACGUAGGAUGCAAGCGUUAUUCGGAUUUACUGGGCGUAAAGCGCGUGUAGGCGGUUAGGAGAGUUGGAUGUGAAAGCUCCCGGCUUAACUGGGAGAGGUCGUUCAAAACUUCCUGACUAGAGUUUGGUAGAGGAAAAUGGAAUUCCGGGUGUAGUGGUGAAAUGCGUAGAUAUCCGGAGGAACACCAGUGGCGAAAGCGAUUUUCUGGACCGAUACUGACGCUCAGACGCGAAAGCUAGGGUAGCAAACGG
This 404-nucleotide ribosomal RNA is filed under the name uncultured bacterium. RNAcentral's name for it is "bacterial SSU rRNA". It matches the Rfam family "Bacterial small subunit ribosomal RNA", at positions 355 to 775 of the family's 1533-position model. The record is from RNAcentral.